This 84-nucleotide ribosomal RNA is filed under the name Crataegus castlegarensis. RNAcentral describes it as "partial 5.8S ribosomal RNA". It matches the Rfam family "5.8S ribosomal RNA", at positions 73 to 154 of the family's 154-position model. Rfam says of the family: 5.8S ribosomal RNA (5.8S rRNA) is a component of the large subunit of the eukaryotic ribosome. Lineage: Eukaryota; Viridiplantae; Streptophyta; Magnoliopsida; Rosales; Rosaceae. The record is from RNAcentral.
UGCAGAAUCCCGUGAACCAUCGAGUCUUUGAACGCAAGUUGCCCCCGAAGCCGCCAGGCCGAGGGCACGCCUGCCUGGGCGUCA